AUUGAACGCUGGCGGCAGGCCUAACACAUGCAAGUCGAGCGAGCGGCGAACGGGUGAGAAAUGCAUGGGCACCUGCCCGUUAGAGGGGGACAACUACUGGAAACGGCUGCUAAUAACGCAUUCUAUCGGAUGAACCCAUAUGGGAUUAGCUAGUCGGUGGGGUAAAGGCUCACCUAGGCGCAUUUCUGUAGCUGGUCUGAGAGGAUGAACAGCCACACUGGGACUGAGACACGGCCCAGAUUCCUACGGGAGGCAGCAGUGGGGAAUAUUGGAAAAGGGGGGCAAGCCUGAUGCAGCCAUGCCGCGGGUGUGAAGAAGGCCUUAGGGUUGUAAAGUACUUUCAGCGGGGAGGCGUUACCCGCAGAAGAAGCACCGGCUAACUCCGUGCCAGCAGCCGCGGUAAUUC
RNAcentral lists this ribosomal RNA (406 nucleotides) under uncultured bacterium. Its description in RNAcentral is "partial 16S ribosomal RNA". It matches the Rfam family "Bacterial small subunit ribosomal RNA", at positions 30 to 526 of the family's 1533-position model. The record is from RNAcentral.